RNAcentral lists this ribosomal RNA (649 nucleotides) under Colletotrichum queenslandicum. Its description in RNAcentral is "eukaryotic LSU rRNA". The stretch from base 347 to 500 matches the Rfam family "5.8S ribosomal RNA". Lineage: Eukaryota; Fungi; Ascomycota; Sordariomycetes; Glomerellales; Glomerellaceae. The record is from RNAcentral.
UUGUACACACCGCCCGUCGCUACUACCGAUUGAAUGGCUCAGUGAGGCUUUCGGACUGAUCUAAGGGAGGAGGCAACUCUUCCCCCUGGUCGGAAAGUUAUCCAAACUCGGUCAUUUAGAGGAAGUAAAAGUCGUAACAAGGUCUCCGUUGGUGAACCAGCGGAGGGAUCAUUACUGAGUUUACGCUCUACAACCCUUUGUGAACAUACCUAUAACUGUUGCUUCGGCGGGUAGGGUCUCCGCGACCCUCCCGGCCUCCCGCCUCCGGGCGGGUCGGCGCCCGCCGGAGGAUAACCAAACUCUGAUUUAACGACGUUUCUUCUGAGUGGUACAAGCAAAUAAUCAAAACUUUUAACAACGGAUCUCUUGGUUCUGGCAUCGAUGAAGAACGCAGCGAAAUGCGAUAAGUAAUGUGAAUUGCAGAAUUCAGUGAAUCAUCGAAUCUUUGAACGCACAUUGCGCCCGCCAGCAUUCUGGCGGGCAUGCCUGUUCGAGCGUCAUUUCAACCCUCAAGCUCUGCUUGGUGUUGGGGCCCUACAGCUGAUGUAGGCCCUCAAAGGUAGUGGCGGACCCUCCCGGAGCCUCCUUUGCGUAGUAACUUUACGUCUCGCACUGGGAUCCGGAGGGACUCUUGCCGUAAAACCCCCAA